GUGCUCAUUUCGGUAGCACAUAUACUAAAAUUGGAACAAUACAGAGAAGAUAAGCAUGGCCCCUGUUCAAGGAUGACAUGCAAAUUUGUGAAGCGCUCCAUAUAAAA
Aethalodelphis obliquidens (Pacific white-sided dolphin) is the source of this 107-nucleotide small nuclear RNA. NCBI's taxonomy places the organism in Eukaryota, Metazoa, Chordata, Mammalia, Artiodactyla, Delphinidae. The record is from RefSeq and is a predicted model, not a curated record.